GUGCCUGCUUUGGCAGCACAUAUACUAAAAUUGGAAUGAUACAGAGAAGAUUAGCAUGGCUUCUGAGCAAGGAUGACACACAAAUUCGUGAAGUGUUCCAUAUUUUU
Molecule: small nuclear RNA, 107 nt
Filed under: Ailuropoda melanoleuca (giant panda)
Lineage: Eukaryota; Metazoa; Chordata; Mammalia; Carnivora; Ursidae
Source: RNAcentral